GCCUUGCUAGCUCAAUGGAUAGAGCAACAGCCUUCUAAGCUGCAGGUUACAGGUUCGAGUCCUGUGCAAGGCG
RNAcentral lists this transfer RNA (73 nucleotides) under Synechococcaceae cyanobacterium SM2_3_1. RNAcentral describes it as "tRNA-Arg". It matches the Rfam family "tRNA". From Rfam's summary of the family: Transfer RNA (tRNA) molecules are approximately 80 nucleotides in length. Their secondary structure includes four short double-helical elements and three loops (D, anti-codon, and T loops). Lineage: Bacteria; Bacillati; Cyanobacteriota; Cyanophyceae; Synechococcales; Synechococcaceae. The record is from RNAcentral.